UCGAGCUCCUCCUCCUCAGUCGCCACCAUUGUUACCCUCAUCGCCUCCUUCAUCUACCUCCUCGGCUUCGUCUAGUCCUUCAUCUCACGCACCUCCCACUACGACGACGAGGUGCUCAUCAACUGCCGCUGCUGCCCUCCCCCAGCCAAACCCAAAUUCGUCCACACUGACCCCAAGCCGUUCUAAAUGGCGGCGUUCCUUCUUAGUCUCUCAAAUCGAAGCUCGGUGACUGCAAUAUCAUAGCGGCGAUUAGGUGCGAGUGGCUUCAGAGAACGACUGGGAGGUCACUGUAGGGUUUACCUCUCGAAGGUUUCGAUUACGACUCCAUUCUUGGACAGUGCUGCGAGUCGCCGGUCGAAGACGAAGUAAUCUUUAUAGAGUUUAAGAAGCUUGAGUUUGUGGGUGGGUUGAAGAACUGUGAAUUUUUGGAGAAAGUCAAGUCCAGCUUGGUUCUCAAUUUGCACUCAAUUUAUACAUUCUUUUCCAUGAGUUGGUGGGUCGACCGGCUUCCUUGUUAUACGGAGAGGAAAAAGUGAGGGUAUUUUAUGCUGUUAGGAUCUUUCUUGGUCUCAUCUCUGUUAUUACUGAAACCAUUCUGGUUUAUGCUCUGUCAAGAAAGUAUGGAAAAUGUCUUGCCUCGUAUGCUUGCCAUGCUAUGCUUAACCAGCGGUUGUUUCUUUGCCAGUACAAGUUUCUUGCCAAUUUCGUUCUCUAUGUAUGCUGUGACUGCAGUAGCCUGAAAAGUCCCACUGUUUCAUUUGUCAAACUUCUGAGAAUCUCUUGAUGUGUAUUCUCCGUGUGGCUUUGUUGGUUGUG
Rosa chinensis is the source of this 816-nucleotide long non-coding RNA. RefSeq lists it as uncharacterized. NCBI's taxonomy places the organism in Eukaryota, Viridiplantae, Streptophyta, Magnoliopsida, Rosales, Rosaceae. The transcript has 6 exons. The record is from RefSeq and is a predicted model, not a curated record.